RNAcentral lists this long non-coding RNA (403 nucleotides) under Numida meleagris (helmeted guineafowl). RNAcentral describes it as "lncRNA (ENSNMEG00000001510.1)". Lineage: Eukaryota; Metazoa; Chordata; Aves; Galliformes; Numididae. The record is from RNAcentral.
GAUUGGGGAUGCCCAAUGGAAAGGGCCAUUUUUGGGGCAGAAAAUGGCAUUUUGAUGAGUUGGGAUCAGGGGAUUCCCAAUGUAGAGCGUCUUUUUGGGGCAGAAAACGGCAUUUUGAUGAGUCGGGAUUGGGGGAUUCCCAAUGUAGAGUGUCUUUUUGGGGCAGAAAAUGGAGAUUUGGGGAUUGGGGAUGGAUGGAUGCCCAAUGGAAAGGGCCUUUUUGGGGCAGAAAACGGCAUUUUGAUGAGUUGGGAUUGGGAGAUGCCCAAUGGAAAGGGCCUUUUUGGGGCAGAAAAUGGCAUUUUGAUGAGUCGGGAUUGGGGGAUGCCCAAUGAAGAGGGUCUUUUUGGGGCAGAAAAGGGAGAUUUGGGGAUUGGGGGUUGAUGGAUUCCCAAUGGAAAGG